Molecule: ribosomal RNA, 460 nt
Filed under: uncultured bacterium
Lineage: Bacteria
Description: partial 16S ribosomal RNA
Rfam family: Bacterial small subunit ribosomal RNA
Source: RNAcentral
CCUACGGGGGGCUGCAGUGAGGAAUAUUGGUCAAUGGACGAGAGUCUGAACCAGCCAAGUAGCGUGAAGGAUGACUGCCCUAAGGGUUGUAAACUUCUUUUAUAAAGGAAUAAAACCAGGCACGUGUGCCUAUUUGCAUGUACUUUAUGAAUAAGGAUCGGCUAACUCCGUGCCAGCAGCCGCGGUAAUACGGAGGAUCCGAGCGUUAUCCGGAUUUGUUGGGUUUAAAGGGAGCGUAGAUGGGUUGUUAAGUCAGUUGUGAAAUUUUCGGGCUCAACCGUAAAAGUGCAAUUGAUACUGGCAGUCUUGAGUCCAGUAGAGGUAGGUGGAAUUCGAGGUGUAGCGGUGAAAUGCUUAGAUAUCACGAAGAACCCCGAUUGCGAAGGCAGCUUACUAGACUGUGACUGACAUUGAUGCUCGAAAGUGUGGGUAUCAAACAGGAUUAGAUACCCUGGUAGUC